This is a long non-coding RNA of Hippoglossus stenolepis (Pacific halibut), 3670 nucleotides long. RefSeq lists it as uncharacterized. NCBI's taxonomy places the organism in Eukaryota, Metazoa, Chordata, Actinopteri, Pleuronectiformes, Pleuronectidae. The transcript is spliced from 2 exons. The record is from RefSeq and is a predicted model, not a curated record.
GGAUAUUACAUCCCCGCAGUAAUCUUCCCAUGUUUGGCAAUGCUCCGACUAGCGUACUCAAACGGGGGUGUUGUUACAGAAAGGACCCAGCGAAACAAGAACAAAAGUGAAUAAGUGCAACCAGUUUGUUGUUGUGAAGGUCGGCACCAGGCAACAGGAAAUCUGACUUACAGGCAGCGAAUCGGUCACGUUGCUUUGUUUUCAGAGGAAAGAGGCAGAUGCAGCAGUAGAACGAGCUUCGUAUGUUUUUAAUCCGGAUGCACUUUGCUGCUCGACGCUCGAUAUUCGGUUCAUUCACGAUGAAUCGAGUGACUACAUGUGAUGUGAAAUGAGCCUCUCAUCCCUCAUAUUGAUUAAUCUACCCAACAGAGCAGCUUUUUACCUCGUGCAUUUGCAUUUAUUACACAUUGCUGUUUUGGUUCCGUCUCCGUGCUCCCAUCAGCCUCACUUCCAGCAGCUGUUUCCUGCAAACAAGCUCAGAUAAACCCGCUGAAGGCUCCCUGCCCGGCAACAACCGCUGGACAACCAGCGAACCACCAGCUGCUGAGGUGGAACAUGUGGAACAUGUUUCUCUCAGGAGUUGGUGGAGGGUCUGGACUGUACAUGAAGGCCGCUCCACUCCGGCCACUCUGAACAUGAGGCCACUUCGGCUCAUAGCGUGUUUAGCUCUAUUAAAUGCUAACUUCACGAUGUGUGUUUUGCUUCGCUAUAGCAACAGGAGAUGAGAGCGACAGCAAAUAUUAAACACACCCUCCACUUCAGCCAGUGUCCGGCUGUCACCACCACUGCACAGAACCAGGGACCAGUGGAUGAAGUUACACAGAGUGACUGGUGAGACUGGGUCGUCCUGAAGGAUCAUGCACAGGUAGUUUGCAGUAAACUCAGGAUGUGACACACUUUAAAAAGCCCAAUAAUAAAGCGCUGGUAAACAGAGUAAUUGUCAAACCAUUCAAAAAUCACAUAUUAUCUAUAUUGUUAAACUCUCUUUGAAGGAUCCAAUCAAUGUUCAGUGUCUUGCAGCCUUUCCACUGGUCUCCAUCUGUCUGCUGCUGCACAUACAGAGGAUCUGGUUUGCAUGAAGAGCCACAGUCACCAGCAUUUAACAGAACGAGAACAAAAAAAAAUGCAAACUGACUUCAACAGCAACACGGAGGAAAAUGUCCCAGCACCACCCACACUGUUUGAGUGACAGAUCACUGGGGAGCGGGGAUGAAAAAUCCACCAGCACAAUAAACACUUUGCUUAUUAAGACGAAGACUAAACAGAAUGUGUGUUUGCGUGUUUGCGGUGGGAAGCUCUGACAGCACCGUGUUAUUCCGCUGCCAUCUCGGCUCUAACAUGGUGUCAUGUUCUUGUUCUUUAUGCAUGAAGAGCAGAAGGUUUCUCAUUUGUUUCCUCUCCGCCUGCGCCGUGCACGAGUAAUGACACUAAUGAACCCGAACACCGUCGACUGGUAAACACAGUGAUCCUGCGUUCCAAACACUGAACUUUGCUGUAACUAGAAGCUGUUUGAGGAGCUCAGGGUUUGGGAGGAACCAGCGAUCUGACUCUGUAAGAGCAGGAAUGAUUCACACACACACACACACGUUAUGCAAAAGGAAUCAACGGUUACAUCACUUCCUGGCUCGGUGUUUCAUUCACAGGCCAAAGGGUGAAUAACCAAUUCAUAAAUCUUGUUAUGUAAAGAAAUGAGUGUUUAUUACGCUCAUUAAUUGUACUGUGGCAUAAAAGAGCAGAUUUAGGAUUCCUCUUGUUUCCUUUCACGAACUCUAGUAAAGAGAUUGUCACCUGCAAACACUGUAACUACAGAUAGAGAAAGAGAGGGAAGUGAAAACAUAUUGAUCACCCUUGCAUUUCCCAAACUAAAUGAAUUUCAGUUGUGUAAUCCACAAACAAUGUCCUGCCCUCACACGUGCUGCUGCAGUGGAGAUGCAUGUGGUCACAGCUCAGAGCAGCACGUUCGAUUACAGCCUAUAAGAACAAGAGGAAUAAGAGGAAAUCAUAAUCCAAUCCUUCCUCCAAACCCGGUGUCAGAAGAGUUGUGUUGUCGGGUUUUUAGUCGGACAUUCGUUGCUAUAGCAACCCGCUGCUGGCUCGUCUCCACGGACGUGUAACUGACGUGUUUAUAUCCAGGUUUUUAUUUCUCAGAUCCGAGACCAAAACAAAUAUUCACAGGCGUGACGGCUGGAUCAUGAUUGUUUGUCCCGUGUGUUGCUGACACACAACGUUGUGAGCAAAUGUUUGUUUGAACUCAGUAAAACACAGUUUGCCUUUGUGUUUUUUUUACAGCAUUGUUUACUGCGUCGUGCUUUUUACAUGGACCUGAUGACUAUUUUUUGCUAUUUCAUAUCGUAUCUGGUCCGACUCUCGUUUCUCUCUGAUUUGAAAUAACUCUCAUGGAGUGUGUUGUUUUAUCCAAUGCUGUUGCUACAGUAACACAACUGAUUCCAGUGCAAACUUCAAAAGGUCAAUUGCUUCCUUUAACCUUUAUUGAAAGUGUGUUUAGCCGCGCACCUUCUCACAAUGAGGGCAGAAUAAUUAGACAAAGGUUUCAGAUCCUUUUAUAACUCCGUGUUGGGUUUAGCUCCGAAAGCAGAGAGCACCGUGGGAGCUUAACUUUCUAAAGUUAAUUUAUUCCUGAUAUAUACUCUUAUAAUGGCUGAGGUUGUUAGUAAUGGAUGCUGGCUUCACUCAGUAUUAAUUAAUAGAUGUCUCCACUUGUGACAUUAAGAUCUCGAUGGCAAAAUGAGCCGUCGUGUGAUCAAUCAGUGUUUAAUGAUGACAAAAUAAAUGUCACUGAAAUGCCAAGAGAUUUAAUUGUUGCUGCUAAUGUGGAUAAAUCUGAAAUAAUUCACACAUUAACUGAAGCUUUUCAUCUAUUGUACAGAUGUUUUUGCUCUGCUGCUGGUUUUAUGUCGUUUCUUCUGCCUUUUCAAAGCUUCAGAUGGAGCCUUUAAAAAAAGGAGCGCGGCAGAAAUUACAACAUUUGGCAGAGUCGCUGCCAGAUCCCGAAUCCAUCGCUGUCGGUGUGUGAGCUUUGAAGAACGAGAUGCGGUGCGACAAAUGAGAAAUGUGUUUGGGUUGGAGCAGAACUGAAACAGACACAGGGCCACCGCUGAGAAAACCACUUGGGGUGACACACUUUAAUCCAAACCCCUGUUCAGUGAUGACAACAGCAUCCAAUCAAUGGAUGUGUUGUGUAAAACAUCCUUCAGAUCUGCAGCCUAUCACACGAGAGGCGGGGCAGGACCUGGACAAGUCGCUGGCCAAUCACAGAGCUGACAUUCACACUCACAUUCACACCUAAUUAUUGGUGAUUUAGGGUUUUAUUAAUUAACCUGAACGUCUGUGGGAGGAAGGACAACUUGAAAACUCAGAGAAAGCCCCCGGCUGUCAGGUUCGAAGGAAACAGUGGUUAUCCCGUAACCUUUGUUCUAUCACCGCCAACGGGUCAAAACUGUGACGUGUUCUGUGAAACACAAAAACAUCUCCAAGGUCGAUAUCGGCAAAAAACUUUGUAAAGAGAUUCCAAGAUGGUGAAUCACUCUGACUUCUGUCCUGUCGGGGGUUUGGUUUUGGCAACAAACCUGUUUCAGUUAAGGUGGGUGAAAGAUCAUAGUUUUGGUUUACAAAUGAUUUGGUAGUUGAAUAAAAAGUUUGGUUUCGUAAA